GCGGUUUUGGUCUAGUGGUAUGAUACAACCUUCCCAAGGUUGGGAUGCGGGUUCGAUUCCCGCAAGCCGCA
RNAcentral lists this transfer RNA (71 nucleotides) under Acidobacteriota bacterium. RNAcentral describes it as "tRNA-Gly". It matches the Rfam family "tRNA". Rfam says of the family: Transfer RNA (tRNA) molecules are approximately 80 nucleotides in length. Their secondary structure includes four short double-helical elements and three loops (D, anti-codon, and T loops). The record is from RNAcentral. Lineage: Bacteria; Pseudomonadati; Acidobacteriota. RNAcentral also lists the same sequence under 3 other names.